Molecule: unclassified non-coding RNA, 377 nt
Filed under: plant metagenome
Description: partial contains 5.8S ribosomal RNA, internal transcribed spacer 2, and large subunit ribosomal RNA
Rfam family: 5.8S ribosomal RNA (bases 1-104)
Source: RNAcentral
AAAUGCGAUAAGUAAUGUGAAUUGCAGAAUUCAGUGAAUCAUCGAAUCUUUGAACGCACCUUGCGCUCCUUGGUAUUCCUUGGAGCAUGCCUGUUUGAGUAUCAUGAAAUCUUCAAAGUAAAUCUUUUGUUAACUCAAUUGGUUUCUACUUUGGUAUUGGAGGUCUUUGCAGCUUCACACCUGCUCCUCUUUGUUCAUUAGCUGGAUCUCAGUGUUAUGCUUGGUUCCACUCGGCGUGAUAAGUUAUCUAUCGCUGAGGACACUGUAAAAGGUGGCCAAGGUAAAUGCAGAUGAACCGCUUCUAAUAUUCCAUUGACUUGGACAAUACUUUUAUGAUCUGAUCUCAAAUCAGGUAGGACUACCCGCUGAACUUAAGC